AUCCUACGGGGGGCAGCAGUGAGGAAUAUUGGUCAAUGGGCGAGAGCCUGAACCAGCCAAGUCGCGUGAAGGAUGAAGGAUCUAUGGUUUGUAAACUUCUUUUAUAUGGGAAUAAAGUUUUCCACGUGUGGAAUUUUGUAUGUACCAUAUGAAUAAGGAUCGGCUAACUCCGUGCCAGCAGCCGCGGUAAUACGGAGGAUCCGAGCGUUAUCCGGAUUUAUUGGGUUUAAAGGGAGCGUAGGUGGAUUGUUAAGUCAGUUGUGAAAGUUUGCGGCUCAACCGUAAAAUUGCAGUUGAAACUGGCA
Molecule: ribosomal RNA, 305 nt
Filed under: uncultured bacterium
Lineage: Bacteria
Description: bacterial SSU rRNA
Rfam family: Bacterial small subunit ribosomal RNA
Source: RNAcentral